AGUGAACGCUGGCGGUAGGCCUAACACAUGCAAGUCGAACGGCAGCACAGUAAGAGCUUGCUCUUACGGGUGGCGAGUGGCGGACGGGUGAGGAAUACAUCGGAAUCUACUUUUUCGUGGGGGAUAACGUAGGGAAACUUACGCUAAUACCGCAUACGACCUACGGGUGAAAGCAGGGGAUCUUCGGACCUUGCGCGACUGAAUGAGCCGAUGUCGGAUUAGCUAGUUGGCGGGGUAAAGGCCCACCAAGGCGACGAUCCGUAGCUGGUCUGAGAGGAUGAUCGGCCACACUGGAACUGAGACACGGUCCAGACUCCUACGGGAGGCAGCAGUGGGGAAUAUUGGACAAUGGGCGCAAGCCUGAUCCAGCCAUACCGCGUGGGUGAAGAAGGCCUUCGGGUUGUAAAGCCCUUUUGUUGGGAAAGAAAAGAAGCAGGUUAAUACCCCGCUGUUCUGACGGUACCCAAAGAAUAAGCACCGGCUAACUUCGUG
This 492-nucleotide ribosomal RNA is filed under the name uncultured bacterium. RNAcentral describes it as "partial 16S ribosomal RNA". It matches the Rfam family "Bacterial small subunit ribosomal RNA", at positions 29 to 507 of the family's 1533-position model. The record is from RNAcentral.